This 379-nucleotide ribosomal RNA is filed under the name uncultured eukaryote. RNAcentral describes it as "partial 18S ribosomal RNA". It matches the Rfam family "Eukaryotic small subunit ribosomal RNA", at positions 592 to 976 of the family's 1831-position model. The record is from RNAcentral.
CAAUAGCGUAUAUUAAAGUUGUUGCAGUUAGAACGCUCGUAGUCGGAUUUCGGGGCGGGUCGACCGGCCUGCCGAUGGGUACGCACUGGCCGACGCGUCCUUCCUUCCGGAGACCGUCUCACUCUUAACUGAGCGGAGGCGGGAGACGGAACGUUUACUUUGAAAAAAUCAGAGUGUUUCAAGCAGGCAGCUCGCUCUUGCAUGGAUUAGCAUGGGAUAAUGAAAUAGGACUUUGGUGCUAUUUUGUUGGUUUCGAACACCGAAGUAAUGAUGAGAAGGGACAGUCAGGGGCACUCGUAUUCCGCCGAGAGAGGUGAAAUUCUCAGACCAGCGGAAGACGAACCACUGCGAAAGCAUUUGCCAGGGAUGUUUUCACUGA